Molecule: long non-coding RNA, 2253 nt
Filed under: Ananas comosus (pineapple)
Lineage: Eukaryota; Viridiplantae; Streptophyta; Magnoliopsida; Poales; Bromeliaceae
Description: long non-coding RNA (ACOM_LNC039817)
Source: RNAcentral
GAGAGUUUAAAUUUGUAACUUAUCGAUGUCAACGUUCACAAGAACCAAAACCGGAACAACAUUAGACUACUCAGUUGCGCCCUAACAGUAUAACUUUGCAACGAGUACUUUUUCUCAUUCUAUCGAACAAAGAGUAAAACCUAAUUAUAUUGUUCUAUUAUACCCCGAGAGUGUAAAUUUUUAACUUAUCGAGGUCAACGUUCACAAGAACCAAAGCCCAACCAACAUUAGACUACUCAGUUGCGCCCUAACAGCAUAACUUUGCAAUAAGUACUUUUUCUCCUCCAACCGAAUAAAGAGAAAAACCUAAUUAUAUUGUUCUAUUUUACCCUGAGAGAGUAAAUUUGCAACGUAUCAAUGUCAACGUUCACAAAAAUCAAAACCGGACCAACAUUAGACUACUCAGUUGCGCCCUAACAGCAUAACUUUGCAAUAAGUACUUUUUCUCCUCCAACCGAAUAAAGAGAAAAACCUAAUUAUAUUGUUCUAUUUUACCCUGAGAGAGUAAAUUUGCAACGUAUCAAUGUCAACGUUCACAAAAAUCAAAACCGGACCAACAUUAGACUACUCAGUUGCGCCCUUACAAUAUAACUUAAUUAUAUUGUUCUAUUAGACUUUUUCUCAUUCAAUUGAACAAAGAGUAAAACCUAAUUAUAUUGUUCUAUUAUGCCCCGAGAGUAUAAAUUUGCAGUGUAUCGAUGUCAACGUUCACACGAACCAAAAUGGUACAAACAUUAGACUACUAGUUGUGCCCUAACAGUAUAACUUUGCAACGAGUACUUUUUCUCAUUCAACCGAACAAACAGUAAAACCUGAUUAUAUUGUUCUAUUAUGCCCCGAGAGUAUAAAUUUGCAACGUAUCGAUGUCAACGUUCACAAGAACCAAAAUCGGAACAACAUUAGACUACUCAGUUACGCCAUAACAGUAUAACUUUGCAAACAGUACUUUUUCUCAUUCAAUCGAACAAAGAGUAAAACCAACUUAUAUUAUUCUAUUAUACCCCGAGCAUGUAAAUUUGCAACUUAUCGAUGUCAACGUUCACAAGAACGAAAACCGGAAGAACAUUAGACUACUCAGUUGCGCCCUAACAACAUAACUUUGCAAACAGUGCUUUUUCUCAUUCAAUCGAACAAAGAGUACAACCUAAUUAUAUUGUUCUAUUAUCGCCCGAGAGUGUAAGUUUGCAACGUAUCGAUGUCAACGUUCAUAAGAAUCAAAACCGGAAAAAUAUUAGACAACUCAGUUGCUCCCUAAUACUAUAACUUUACAAAGAGUACUUUUUCUCAUUCAACCGAACAAAGAGUAAAACCUAAUUAUAUUGUUCUAUUAUGGCCCGAGAGUGUAAAUUUACAAGGUAUCGAUGUCAACGUUCAAAAAAACCAAAACCGGACAAAAAUUAGACUACUCAGUUGCUCCCUAACAGUAUAACUUUACAACGAGUACUUUUUCUUCUUCAACCGAACAAAGAGUAAAAUCUAAUUAUAUUAUUCUAUUAUGACCCGAAAGUGUAAAUUUGCAACGUAUCGAUGUCAACAUUCACAAGAAACGAAACCGAAAAAAUUUUAGACUACUCAGUUGCUCCCUAACAUUAUAACUUUGCAACGAGUACUUUUUCGCAUUCAAUCAAAAAAAGAGUAAAACCUAAUUAUAUUGUUCUAUUAUGCCCCGAUAGUGUUAAUAUGCAAUGUAUCGAUGUCAACGUUCACAAGAACCAAAACCAGAACAACAUUAGACUUCUCUAUUACGCCCUAACAGCUUAACUUUGCAAACAGUACUUUUUCUCAUUCAAUCGAACAAAGAGUAAAACCAAAUUAUAUUAUUCUAUUAUGCCCCUAGAAUGUAAAUUUGCAACGUAUCGAUGUCAACGUUCACAGAAACCAAAACGGGAAGAACAUUAGACUACACAAUUGCGCCCUAACAGCAUAAUUUUGCAAUGAGUACUUUUUCUCCUUCAACCGAACAAAGAAUAAAAGCUAAUUAUAUUGUUCUAUUAUGCCCCGAGAGUGUAAAUUUACAAUGUAUCGAUGCAAACGUUCACAAAAACCAAAACCGGAACAACAUUAGACUACUCAGUUGCACCCUAACAAUAGAACUUUGCAAACAGAGCUUUUUCUCAUUCAAUCGAACAAAGAGUAAAAUCCAAUUAUAUUAUUCUAUUAUACCCCGGGAGUGUAAAUUUGGAACGAAUCGAUGUCAACGUUCACAAAACCCAAAACCGGAACAACAUUAGACUACUCAGUUGCGCCCUAACA